Molecule: ribosomal RNA, 334 nt
Filed under: Platypelis sp. 13 MV2019
Lineage: Eukaryota; Metazoa; Chordata; Amphibia; Anura; Microhylidae
Description: partial large subunit ribosomal RNA
Source: RNAcentral
AAUGAUUUAUACCACAUGUGACCAAGUUGGCCUAAAAGCAGCCACCUUAUAAAAAGCGUCCAAGCUUUAUCACAAACCCUCACUAAUCCCAAGAUUAACCCUCAACCCCCAACCACUACUGAAUCUCCCUAUACGCAUAUAGGCAAUAUUAUGCUAGAACUAGUAAAAAGAAGAAGACCUUCUCCGAAAUGUAAACGUAAGCCAAAAUGAACCCUCACCGGCAAUUACCGCCAUAAACCUGCAGUAUUAACAUCACAUGAGAACCAUACUCCAAUUGGCGUCAACCUUACACCAGAGCAUUCCCGGAAAGAUUAAAAGGGAGGGAAGGAACUCG